AGCUCCAAUAGCGUAUAUUAAAGUUGUUGCAGUUAAAAAGCUCGUAGUUGGAUUUCGGAGUGGGCCUGUCGGUCGGCCGCAAGGUCUGUUACUGACUGGUCUGCUCUUCUUUGCAAAGACUGCAUGUGCUCUUGACUGAGUGUGUGUAGGAUUUACAACGUUUACUUUGAAAAAAUUAGAGUGUUCAAAGCAGGCUAUCGGCUUGAAUACAUGAGCAUGGAAUAAUGGAAUAGGACCUUGGUUCUAUUUUGUUGGUUUCUAGAACCGAGGUAAUGAUUAAGAGGGACAAUUGGGGGCAUCCGUAUUUCGUUGUCAGAGGUGAAAUUCUUGGAUUUACGAAAGACGAACAACUGCGAAAGCACUUGCCAAGAGUGUUUUCAUUAAUCAAGAACGAAAGUAC
This 400-nucleotide ribosomal RNA is filed under the name phytoplankton environmental sample. Its description in RNAcentral is "partial small subunit ribosomal RNA". It matches the Rfam family "Eukaryotic small subunit ribosomal RNA", at positions 587 to 992 of the family's 1831-position model. The record is from RNAcentral.